Molecule: long non-coding RNA, 797 nt
Organism: Dreissena polymorpha
Lineage: Eukaryota; Metazoa; Mollusca; Bivalvia; Myida; Dreissenidae
Exons: 2
Source: RefSeq, a predicted model, not a curated record
ACGGUUUCAAAAUAUUAGGUUGGAAUAAACGAGUGUAAAUUCUAGUUUUACUGUUUUGAUUAUGCGCCUUUAAAUUUUCGGCAUUUACAUAUUUUCGAGAUUUACUGCAUUGAAACCAAGCGUUCGAUUGCUUGACGUCACUUCGUGAUCGACAUCGAUGAAACGCUUGCUUACGCUGUAGAUGUUAUUUUCUGUGCAAAUACAAGCGUCUAUUGAUAACGAAACGAUAAUUUGUCAACAAUGAGAAUCAGAUACUUGGCUUAAUAAUUUUCAUUUAAAAUGUCUAAUUUGGAUAUAAUUCGGAAUACAAAACGAAACUUAAAAGGUAUUGAAAACAACAACGUUCAAAAGAACAAUGUGGAUUUCAAUAGAAAGACUAUUUCCACCGACAAUCAGGAUUUCCGGUAUGACCACUGUUAUUUUGACGAUUUUUCUAUCGGUUCGUCGGUAAGCGUGACCACAUGUGACAACAGCGAUGCUAGUUGGAUAUAAAAUUGGUAGACGUGUCGUUGAACUCGACACAUUGACCGAAUCGCUUUUAGCAUGCAGUGCUUGUCAAGUGCCCAUGAAUUUACUUAACACUGUAGAAAGCAGGGAUUUCGGACAGGCAUGUGUUUUGGACAUACAGUUUAGCAAUUGUGGUGCAGUAAAUAAUGUGGCUACUGGACGGAAACAUGGCAGAGUUUAUGACAUGAUCACAAAGCUUGCAUUUGGGUAAAUCAAAAACUGGGUGUUUCACCUGGGACUUUCACAUCGAAACUGGCCCUUCUCCAUGACCUUCAGCACAAAAAAAGAAA